GCGGGUAUAGCUCAGUGGUAGAGUGUGUGUUUAGCAUGCACAGGGUCCUGGGUUCAAUCCCUAGUACUUCCU
This 72-nucleotide transfer RNA is filed under the name Camelus bactrianus (Bactrian camel). It matches the Rfam family "tRNA". From Rfam's summary of the family: Transfer RNA (tRNA) molecules are approximately 80 nucleotides in length. The record is from Rfam by way of RNAcentral. RNAcentral also lists the same sequence under 1 other name. Lineage: Eukaryota; Metazoa; Chordata; Mammalia; Artiodactyla; Camelidae.